GAGCACUGAGAACAUCCUGUAAGUGAGGACUACACUAAAGAGCCCAUGCAGUGGGAUAAGACUGCUGAUGAGCACACUGGACCUCACAGACCCCUGCCCACAACCCCUUGGGGCCCCACUGGCAUCCUCCCUGCUCAGGGCUAAUGUUAGGCAUGAAAUGUGAGUUGUCAUGUUUGGAGCUCCUCUUCCAACGACCCAGCCAAAGCAGCUACAAACACUGUGGGGUUUGCGAAGAGUCAGUUGUGAAGAGAGCAACAAGAACAGCAUCUCUUCCCUUCUGUGUUCAGCUCCAUGGCUCAGCUCUGCUGUGAAGGCAGCAGCUCAGGUUAUGUUGGUGCCAGUGAUGGGUGCAUAGGCUGCGGCUGAGCCCUGCGAUUCUUUGUGCUGUUGGGAUGCUCCUUGCUUGACUGUUGAUAUCUAAUGCAAAGUUACUUGAGUCUCUGCGGCUGGCAGGUAAGACCUGUCCAGUGUAGACAUCACCAGGAGAGAGCCAACAUGUUGUCAUCACGAGGCUCAGCAUCCACCUGCUCCAAUGGCUCCUGUGGAGCUGGGCUUUCCAGGGAUGCUCAGCCACCCUCCUGUUGCCACCAGCUCCAAAAAAGGAGAGGCUGUUUUCUGUAUGACCCUCUGGGAAAGGCUCAGAGACAGGAUAGAUACCAAAAAGUGGGGUUUGGGUGAAAUAUCUGCAUUCAAACACAUGCACUGGAAAUUCCUCACCUUGGGAAAAACCUUUCAGGUGCCUGAAUUCAUUCAGCUCUCUCAGUGUGGACAACAGUGAGAGAUCUUAUAGUGGAAUGAGGGCACAUUGCUACUUCCUGAGCUCUGCAGCAAUCCAGACAUGGGUGACACAGCAGGAGCACGUCUGCUCUGUGCAUACACCUUCCGGCAUGGAGCUCAGGAGCUGCAGCCAUGCUCAUCAGAAUCUUGGCCAACACCGGUUGUACGUUUACAGUGCCCUCAGGGCAGUCAGGCAAGGCCGUGCUGCUCAGGUAGGACAUGAAGUGUGUUCUUCAUAUGCCAGGAAGA
Pezoporus occidentalis (night parrot) is the source of this 1026-nucleotide long non-coding RNA. RefSeq lists it as uncharacterized. The transcript is spliced from 4 exons. The record is from RefSeq and is a predicted model, not a curated record. NCBI's taxonomy places the organism in Eukaryota, Metazoa, Chordata, Aves, Psittaciformes, Psittacidae.